AUGGGGGAAACCCUGAUCCAGCCAUCCCGCGUGUGCGAUGAAGGCCUUCGGGUUGUAAAGCACUUUUGGCAGGAAAGAAACGUCAUGGGCUAAUACCCCGUGAAACUGACGGUACCUGCAGAAUAAGCACCGGCUAACUACGUGCCAGCAGCCGCGGUAAUACGUAGGGUGCAAGCGUUAAUCGGAAUUACUGGGCGUAAAGCGUGCGCAGGCGGUUCGGAAAGAAAGAUGUGAAAUCCCAGAGCUUAACUUUGGAACUGCAUUUUUAACUACCGAGCUAGAGUGUGUCAGAGGGAGGUGGAAUUCCGCGUGUAGCAGUGAAAUGCGUAGAUAUGCGGAGGAACACCGAUGGCGAAGGCAGCCUCCUGGGAUAACACUGACGCUCAUGCACGAAAGCGUGGGGAGCAAACAGGAUUAGAUACCCUGGUAGUCCACGCCCUAAACGAUGUCAACUAGCUGUUGGGGCCUUCGGGCCUUGGUAGCGCAGCUAACGCGUGAAGUUGACCGCCUGGGGAGUACGGUCGCAAGAUUAAAACUCAAAGGAAUUGACGGGGA
Molecule: ribosomal RNA, 555 nt
Filed under: Achromobacter spanius
Lineage: Bacteria; Pseudomonadati; Pseudomonadota; Betaproteobacteria; Burkholderiales; Alcaligenaceae
Description: bacterial SSU rRNA
Rfam family: Bacterial small subunit ribosomal RNA
Source: RNAcentral